This is a non-coding RNA of Cyanistes caeruleus (blue tit), 211 nucleotides long. The record is from RefSeq and is a predicted model, not a curated record. NCBI's taxonomy places the organism in Eukaryota, Metazoa, Chordata, Aves, Passeriformes, Paridae.
CGCCCCUUUAUCAGGGCCAUGGAGAAGGAAAACCGGUUUCACUUGUUCAUACCGCAGCGCUGGGCAGGUGUCUGCUGGCAGAGGCCAGGGUUCUAACAAAUGCUCAGAUGAUGAUUUUAAGUUGCCAUCCAAUAUGUCGAACCAUGGUGAAAUCACUGAUUCAGAUACAAUUUCACAGCAAGUAAAACUUUGCUCUGAAGUAGAUGAAGAG